This 253-nucleotide ribosomal RNA is filed under the name uncultured bacterium. RNAcentral describes it as "partial 16S ribosomal RNA". It matches the Rfam family "Bacterial small subunit ribosomal RNA", at positions 524 to 776 of the family's 1533-position model. The record is from RNAcentral.
UACGGGGGGAGCAAGCGUUGUUCGGAUUCACUGGGCGUAAAGGGCACGUAGGCGGCUCAGCAAAUCAGUCGUGGAAUCCCGACGCUUACCGUCGGAACGGCGGCUGAAAAUACUGGGCUUGAGGGCGUGAGGGGUCACUGGAACUCCUGGUGAAGCGGUGAAAUGCGUAGAUAUCAGGAGGAGCGCCGGAGGCGAAAGCGAGUGACUGGCGCGUUCCUGACGCUGAGGUGCGAAAGCUAGGGGAGCAAACAGG